GAGGUCUUAGCUUAAUUAAAGUGUCUGAGUUGCAGUCAGAUGAUGCUGAUUAGAGUUUCGCAGGUCUUC
This 69-nucleotide transfer RNA is filed under the name Cnemaspis flavolineata (yellow-striped rock gecko). RNAcentral describes it as "tRNA-Ala". It matches the Rfam family "tRNA". Rfam says of the family: Transfer RNA (tRNA) molecules are approximately 80 nucleotides in length. Lineage: Eukaryota; Metazoa; Chordata; Lepidosauria; Squamata; Gekkonidae. The record is from RNAcentral.